Molecule: non-coding RNA, 148 nt
Filed under: Nomascus leucogenys (northern white-cheeked gibbon)
Lineage: Eukaryota; Metazoa; Chordata; Mammalia; Primates; Hylobatidae
Source: Rfam by way of RNAcentral
GCUGGGUGUGGUGGUGCAUGCCUGUGGUCCCAGCUACUCGGGAGGCUGAGGUGGGAGGAUCGCUUGAGCCCAGGAGGCAGAGGCUGCAGUGAGCCAUGAUCGUGCCACUGCACUGCAGCCUGGGCAACAAAGCAAGACCCUGUCUCAA